This 445-nucleotide ribosomal RNA is filed under the name uncultured bacterium. RNAcentral describes it as "partial 16S ribosomal RNA". It matches the Rfam family "Bacterial small subunit ribosomal RNA", at positions 354 to 796 of the family's 1533-position model. The record is from RNAcentral.
GUGAGGAAUAUUGGUCAAUGGACGAGAGUCUGAACCAGCCAAGUCGCGUGAAGGAAGACGGUUCUAUGAAUUGUAAACUUCUUUUGUGCAGGAAUAAAGUGGGUUACGUGUAACCUUUUGUAUGUACUGUACGAAUAAGGAUCGGCUAACUCCGUGCCAGCAGCCGCGGUAAUACGGAGGAUCCGAGCGUUAUCCGGAUUUAUUGGGUUUAAAGGGUGCGUAGGUGGAUUGAUAAGUCAGCGGUGAAAGUUUGCAGCUUAACUGUAAAAUUGCCGUUGAAACUGUCGGUCUUGAGUGCAAAUGAGGUAGGCGGAAUGUGUUGUGUAGCGGUGAAAUGCUUGGAUAUAACACAGAACUCCGAUUGCGAAGGCAGCUUACUGGGAUGCAACUGACACUGAUGCACGAAAGCGUGGGUAUCAAACAGGAUUAGAUACCCGUGUAGUCC